Long non-coding RNA from Lethenteron reissneri (Far Eastern brook lamprey), 2542 nucleotides. RefSeq lists it as uncharacterized. The record is from RefSeq and is a predicted model, not a curated record. Lineage: Eukaryota; Metazoa; Chordata; Hyperoartia; Petromyzontiformes; Petromyzontidae.
GCGCAGGUGGUGACGGUCAGAGGAACGACCGUUCGCCGCGACCGUUGGGAGAAGAAUUUGGCCGCGGCUCAGUGGCUCUCGCCGCAAAUAAACAUCGACUGGGAUGCAGAUCCCCUGGACGGGUGCGGCGCGGUCGGCGCAUCUCACGCCGCGAUCGCCCAAGCCACUCAAGCAAGCCACCUGCGCAGAUAAAACCGCACGCGGCCCCUCUCCCGGAUCUUCGGUUGCUUCCGUCGACAUCGGACAAGUCCAGUCCCCUGUGCGGGAGAGAGGAAAAAAACGCUCUUCGUGGUUAACCUCCCGUGGUGGAAGAAGGCAAGAACCCCACCGAGACUCUGUUGAUGUCUCCUGUGAGGGGGUCGAGCGAGUGGUCUCAGCGACGUCGCUGACGCGCGUCGAGAGAGCGAUCGUUGAGAACGGCGGCGGUGGUGACGGAGAGGGGGGUGAUGGUGGCGGAGGAGGGUGGGGGGGCUAUUCACGGUGGCCGAGCGUGAGAGGUGUCGCCGCGCGCAAUCGCCGCCCUGGGCCGGCAGCUGCCGGGCCGCUCGCACCGCUGACGCGGUAGCAGCAGUCACUCAGGAAUUCGGUUGCCGAGCUCCCAGGACGUGGAGAGAAACAUCGGGGCAUCAUGCUGAACGACAAAGGGGAACAACCCGAAAACGUUUCCGAGAGUGAGCGCAGAGCGUGCGCGUGGCUACCGCCACUACCGCUACCGCACCGGAGCUGUCGGCCAGACGACCUGAGGUGUGACGUGGCUGAAUUCAGCAGAGCGAAGCCCCAUGACUGUGGGCUGCGGGGGCGACGAGUUUGGCAUUAGCCGAGCAGGAGCUGACAACUGCAAUAUUACACAUUUUCUGUGUUUGUAGGAGUAUAAUUUGCCGCAAAACAAUAAAGUGAUCCACUUACGCAUGCUUGUGCGUGUGUACAGGGCACACGAUAAAUGUAAAAAUGCUGCUCAUGCCGUUACGAUGAUGGCUUAUUUAUGAAAUGCAAAUCAUAAAACAUUGAUUUUUUUAUGCUUGUUCAAAAGACAACAGUUGAUGCGCAGCUCCCUGGCAAUCUUCAAGAUACUGGCUGUGGAAAGGCACCCGAUUCCAUCAGAUCCCAGAAGCUAAGCAUUGUGUGGACUUGGAUAGGGUGAGUUGGGGGACCGUCGUCCGCGAGACAGGUUACCGCUAAGAGCCUCCCACCGUCGGCAGCGUAGGGCGGUUCAACAAAAUUCACUGUUAUACCGUGUUCCCAUGCUCCUGUGUUUCCAUGCUCCUGUGUCUACGCUCCCUGCCUUCACAAUCCCACAGUGACCAGCACAGAAAAGUAUGGUCAAAUAACCCCCACAAGCCACGGGGCGUGGGGAGGCCUUCAUCCAGCAGUGCAUUGACAAAAUAGGCUGUGUACGUAAGCGGAUUUCGAUACACGCUCUUACGAGUAAAGAAAUACGCUCGACCUGGUGCGUCACGUCACGCGCGCAGAAUUUGUUUUCCAGACUUCCGUGUGUGCAGCAGCUGAGCAGUCUGCCUAUGCAAAUCGCGAUUGCGUAAUCAUCACAAUGGGUGCUUUGAGGCUCUGCGGUGGCUGAGCUGCCGAUAUUGCUUUUUCUCCAGCCGGCCAGUCAUUCAUUUUGUAGGCCUCAAUGGUUAAAAGUACAGUCUCCAGCGCUGAUAAUCCACUCGAUCUCUCUGGCCUCUCUCUCCAUGGUGCCAUGAAGAAGGGCCAUUGCCCGAAACGUCAAAUAGGAUAGACUUUUCCUUUUAAGCCCAAACACAGUGGGUUGUUAUUGAUGAACGUGUUGAUGUUUUUGUUUUACACAGUUGAUGAGCACAGGCACGAGGCCCAACACGUCCAGUUGGCCAGCAACAAACAGCACUGUCAGGGUUGUCAUGGAUAAUUGUGUAACACGUUCCUUGAAUUAAGCAAAGUUGCUUCUCAUAAGAGCUGGGGGGAAAUGAAACGACGGGAGUGAAGUCUUGUAACCUCAAGUGCGUGAGUGUGGGUGAGUGAGUGUUGUUAUAACCUGCAGUGCGGUGGGUGAGCUUGUGAGUGAGCUCGUAUCGUGUUUAAUGCGAUGCGCUACGAACCCGAUGACCCGAGUUCGAUUCCCACUCAUGGCCACCAACACCAGUGAUGAUUAUCUGAAAAAGUCCUGGGCCUCCCCUAGGCCGAUGUACAAAGAUCACAAUUAGGGAGACAAAGGCGACCAGGUGUGAUGCUGGCCACCCACCUCCUCUCGUGUCCUGUUCCAGCCUUCAUAGGUGCUCUCAAACAGCACUUGCCCCAAAAGUCUGCUAAGGCUAUACGUGAAACAUUUGUUGUCUUUGUGAGCAAGUGAGAGGGCUAGCGAGUGAGUGAGUUGUUGUGACCGGCAGUGUGGCGGUGGUGGUUGAACACAGCGGUGGUGGAUGUAAAUGUUAUGCCAGUGUCUGUCAGGCCGAGUCCUGGACAUGGAUGGGGCGAAUCGACAGGCGAGUCAUUGGCACACUUUUCCCAUCACGAAAAACCGCGGGCACAAAGGCCCUGGUCUCAUAGCAACACCGCUCGUGUUACG